GAUGAACGCUGGCGGCGUGCCUAAUACAUGCAAGUCGAGCGAACGGACGAGAAGCUUGCUUCUCUGAUGUUAGCGGCGGACGGGUGAGUAAUACGUGGAUAACCUACCUAUAAGACUGGGAUAACUUCGGGAAACCGGAGCUAAUACCGGAUAAUAUUUUGAACCGCAUGGUUCAAAAGUGAAAGACGGUCUUGCUGUCACUUAUAGAUGGAUCCGCGCUGCAUUAGCUAGUUGGUAAGGUAACGGCUUACCAAGGCAACGAUGCAUAGCCGACCUGAGAGGGUGAUCGGCCACACUGGAACUGAGACACGGUCCAGACUCCUACGGGAGGCAGCAGUAGGGAAUCUUCCGCAAUGGGCGAAAGCCUGACGGAGCAACGCCGCGUGAGUGAUGAAGGUCUUCGGAUCGUAAAACUCUGUUAUUAGGGAAGAACAUAUGUGUAAGUAACUGUGCACAUCUUGACGGUACCUAAUCAGAAAGCCACGGCUAACUACGUGCCAGCAGCCGCGGUAAUACGUAGGUGGCAAGCGUUAUCCGGAAUUAUUGGGCGUAAAGCGCGCGUAGGCGGUUUUUUAAGUCUGAUGUGAAAGCCCACGGCUCAACCGUGGUGGGUCAUUGGAAACUGGAAAACUUGAGUGCAGAAGAGGAAAGUGGAAUUCCAUGUGUAGCGGUGAAAUGCGCAGAGAUAUGGAGGAACACCAGUGGCGAAGGCGACUUUCUGGUCUGUAACUGACGCUGAUGUGCGAAAGCGUGGGGAUCAAACAGGAUUAGAUACCCUGGUAGUCCACGCCGUAAACGAUGAGUGCUAAGUGUUAGGGGGUUUCCGCCCCUUAGUGCUGCAGCUAACGCAUUAAGCACUCCGCCUGGGGAGUACGACCGCAAGGUUGAAACUCAAAGGAAUUGACGGGGACCCGCACAAGCGGUGGAGCAUGUGGUUUAAUUCGAAGCAACGCGAAGAACCUUACCAAAUCUUGACAUCCUUUGACAACUCUAGAGAUAGAGCCUUCCCCUUCGGGGGACAAAGUGACAGGUGGUGCAUGGUUGUCGUCAGCUCGUGUCGUGAGAUGUUGGGUUAGGUCCCGCAACGAGCGCAACCCUUAAGCUUAGUUGCCAUCAUUAAGUUGGGCACUCUAAGUUGACUGCCGGUGACAAACCGGAGGAAGGUGGGGAUGACGUCAAAUCAUCAUGCCCCUUAUGAUUUGGGCUACACACGUGCUACAAUGGACAAUACAAAGGGCAGCGAAACCGCGAGGUCAAGCAAAUCCCAUAAAGUUGUUCUCAGUUCGGAUUGUAGUCUGCAACUCGACUACAUGAGGCUGGAAUCGCUAGUAAUCGUAGAUCAGCAUGCUACGGUGAAUACGUUCCCGGGUCU
Molecule: ribosomal RNA, 1372 nt
Filed under: uncultured bacterium
Lineage: Bacteria
Description: bacterial SSU rRNA
Rfam family: Bacterial small subunit ribosomal RNA
Source: RNAcentral